RNAcentral lists this long non-coding RNA (910 nucleotides) under Chrysemys picta bellii (western painted turtle). RNAcentral's name for it is "lncRNA (ENSCPBG00000027175.1)". The record is from RNAcentral. Lineage: Eukaryota; Metazoa; Chordata; Testudines; Emydidae.
CAUACUGCACAUAUAACUCUCCCUAUGACUCUUCUGUCAUGUUUCCAUAUUUUAAUUCCAGUUUUGCCUUUCUCUCUGUAUUUCAGGUUUAUUCCAUAGUAUGAAAAUCCAGCUGCUUCCUGUGCACUUCAUACAUCAUCACCAACAAAGCCAGACAUCAGCACCUCGCUCAGAUUCCAGGGGUGAUCAGCUGAUUCAUGCCCAUUCUGGCAUUCAUCUUCCCCAACACUGCAUAGUGCAUCAAGCGGAAGAUUCAGCAGUAUCCACAAAAAUAUAGUUUGUGCUAAUAAUAUACAUUGCCGCCAACCACAGCCUUUGCUUUGCAAUUGACUGAGGCAAUAUUCUUGAACGGAGGCAUGGUAAUGUGGACUUCCCAGAGGAUCAUAGAUGCUCUGACUUCUCUCGACCCACUUUUAAAGCAGUCAAAGCAGGAAUGGAAGAGGCCGUCACAAAACCACAUAGCAGGAGCUGCCAGCAACAGGAGGAGAAAGAAACGUAUAUUUCUUCAAGUUGUUUGUAAUGUUGUUCCCCUCUGGGAAGUACUUUACAAGGGGCAGUAGGGAACCAGGCAAUCAGUUGCUUGGGGAAAGGGCAAGAAAGGGCAUAGCUUUCCAGUGGGGGCAUGUGUUGUAGGGUAGUUAUCACACUGUGGGAAAAAACUAGGUUUUAUAUUUUCCCUUCUAAACAAGACACUGUACAAAGCAGUGAAAUUACAGGAACUUAGCAAAUGAGGCAACCAUUAUCUGCUCAGCAAUGGUUUCCAUGUUCUUGGGUGCACAGAUGGGAUGACAUGAGGCUGCAUGCCACAAGGUGGGAUAGAACUUGUUUCUCGAAUGUUGGCCUGAUCAGCGUGAUUAUCCUUUACUUUUUUUCCAGGGGCUCUUUCACUCUGGUUGUCUACGUAGCUAUA